AUGCUAGGUGUCGGGGGUCAAACCUCGGUGCCGAAGUUAACACAUUAAGCAUUCCGCCUGGGGAGUACGGUGGCAACACUGAAACUCAAAGGAAUUGACGGGGACCCGCACAAGCAGCGGAGCAUGUGGUUUAAUUCGAUGCAACGCGAAGAACCUUACCAGGGCUUGACAUAUAUGCGCUAGCACUAGAGAUAGUGGGUUCUCUUCGGAGACGCAUAUACAGGUGGUGCAUGGUUGUCGUCAGCUCGUGUCGUGAGAUGUUGGGUUAAGUCCCGCAACGAGCGCAACCCU
This 291-nucleotide ribosomal RNA is filed under the name uncultured bacterium. Its description in RNAcentral is "partial 16S ribosomal RNA". It matches the Rfam family "Bacterial small subunit ribosomal RNA", at positions 813 to 1105 of the family's 1533-position model. The record is from RNAcentral.